GACGAACGCUGGCGGCGUGCCUAAUACAUGCAAGUAGAACGCUGAAGGAGGAGCUUGCUUCUCUGGAUGAGUUGCGAACGGGUGAGUAACGCGUAGGUAACCUGCCUGGUAGCGGGGGAUAACUAUUGGAAACGAUAGCUAAUACCGCAUAACAGUAGAUGUUGCAUGACAUUUGCUUAAAAGGUGCAAUUGCAUCACUACCAGAUGGACCUGCGUUGUAUUAGCUAGUUGGUGGGGUAACGGCUCACCAAGGCGACGAUACAUAGCCGACCUGAGAGGGUGAUCGGCCACACUGGGACUGAGACACGGCCCAGACUCCUACGGGAGGCAGCAGUAGGGAAUCUUCGGCAAUGGACGGAAGUCUGACCGAGCAACGCCGCGUGAGUGAAGAAGGUUUUCGGAUCGUAAAGCUCUGUUGUAAGAGAAGAACAGGUGUGAGAGUGGAAAGUUC
This 451-nucleotide ribosomal RNA is filed under the name Streptococcus mitis. RNAcentral describes it as "bacterial SSU rRNA". It matches the Rfam family "Bacterial small subunit ribosomal RNA", at positions 28 to 465 of the family's 1533-position model. Lineage: Bacteria; Bacillati; Bacillota; Bacilli; Lactobacillales; Streptococcaceae. The record is from RNAcentral.